This 796-nucleotide long non-coding RNA is filed under the name Elaeis guineensis (African oil palm). Its description in RNAcentral is "long non-coding RNA (EGUI_LNC002694)". The record is from RNAcentral. Lineage: Eukaryota; Viridiplantae; Streptophyta; Magnoliopsida; Arecales; Arecaceae.
AUCACGAGGCUGGGUGGGAUUGGGAUGGAUCGGAAGAAAGAAGGAGGCGCGGCUCGAGCAGCGGAUGUUAUCCUUUCAGAUUCAGAUUGAAAACUACAUGGAAACCAUCAUGGCGUCAUUCUUGUUCAGCGAUUAAACGCUUGGAUCCGCCGCUUGCAGAGCCAACACCGUUCCCUUCUCUUACCCCCAUGACCUCGAACAAAAAUCAUAUGGGGCGGGCACUACAAAAUAUCACAUGGGGCGGGUUUCAUGGUUUGCCUACAACGCAAUCCUCAGACGACCGAAAAGGAUUGAUUUUGGUAGGAGAGAAGGGGCCUUCAGAUCCCAUCACGAGGCAGGGUGGGAUUGGGAUGAAUCGGGAGAAAGAAGAAGGUGGCGCGGCUCGAGCAGCGGAUAUUAUUCUUUGGGAUUCAGAUUGAAAACUACAUGGAAACCAUCAUGGUGGGAUUCUUCUUCAGCGAUUAAACGCUUGGAGUUUAGUUUUCGUCUCCACACGGCCGAUCCGCCGCUUCCAGAGCCAACACCGUUCCCUUCUCUUUCCCCCAUGACCUCCCCCCAAAACCCUAACAAAAAAAAAAAAGAGAAAUUCUUUGUGCACCGCCUGCGGUGGAGCAAAUAUGACGUGCCUCUUAGCCGUCGAGAGAAGAGGCCUUCAGAUCCCAUCACGAGGGGGUAAGAAGAAGUAGGCGCCGCUCGAGCAGCGGAUCUGGGCGGAUCUUAUUCUCUGGGAUUCAGAUUGAAAACUACAUGGAAACCAUCAUAGUGGGAUUCUUCUUCAGCGAUUAAACGCUUGGAG